ACUCAGUGAUGAAAACUUAGUCCAGUUCUGCUACUGACUGUAAGUGACAAUAAAGUAUUACCUGAGGAGA
RNAcentral lists this small nucleolar RNA (70 nucleotides) under Dasypus novemcinctus (nine-banded armadillo). Lineage: Eukaryota; Metazoa; Chordata; Mammalia; Cingulata; Dasypodidae. The record is from RNAcentral.